RNAcentral lists this ribosomal RNA (440 nucleotides) under uncultured bacterium. RNAcentral's name for it is "partial 16S ribosomal RNA". It matches the Rfam family "Bacterial small subunit ribosomal RNA", at positions 338 to 795 of the family's 1533-position model. The record is from RNAcentral.
CCUACGGGGGGCAGCAGUAGGGAAUAUUGCUCAAUGGGGGAAACCCUGAAGCAGCAACGCCGCGUGGAGGAUGAAGGUUUUCGGAUUGUAAACUCCUUUUGUUAGAGAAGAUAAUGACGGUAUCUAACGAAUAAGCACCGGCUAACUCCGUGCCAGCAGCCGCGGUAAUACGGAGGGUGCAAGCGUUACUCGGAAUCACUGGGCGUAAAGAGCGCGUAGGCGGGAUAGCAAGUCAGAUGUGAAAUCCUAUGGCUUAACCAUAGAACUGCAUUUGAAACUGUUAGUCUUGAGUGCGGCGGAGGCAGGCGGAAUGCGCGGUGUAGCGGUGAAAUGCAUAGAGAUCGCGCAGAACCCUGAUUGCGAAGGCAGCGUGCCGUGCCGCCACUGACGCUGAUGCACGAAAGCGCGGGGAUCGAACAGGAUUAGAUACCCCUGUAGUC